RNAcentral lists this transfer RNA (75 nucleotides) under Bos taurus (domestic cattle). Its description in RNAcentral is "tRNA-Phe (GAA) (tRNA-Phe-GAA-10-1)". It matches the Rfam family "tRNA". From Rfam's summary of the family: Transfer RNA (tRNA) molecules are approximately 80 nucleotides in length. Their secondary structure includes four short double-helical elements and three loops (D, anti-codon, and T loops). Further hydrogen bonds mediate the characteristic L-shaped molecular structure. tRNAs have two regions of fundamental functional importance: the anti-codon, which is responsible for specific mRNA codon recognition, and the 3' end, to which the tRNAs corresponding amino acid is attached (by aminoacyl-tRNA synthetases). tRNAs cope with the degeneracy of the genetic code in two manners: having more than one tRNA (with a specific anti-codon) for a particular amino acid; and 'wobble' base-pairing, i.e. permitting non-standard base-pairing at the 3rd anti-codon position. The record is from RNAcentral. Lineage: Eukaryota; Metazoa; Chordata; Mammalia; Artiodactyla; Bovidae.
UCCGGAAUAGCUCAGUUAGCAGAGCGUUAGACUGAAAAUCUAAAGGUUCCCGGUUCAAUUCUGGGUUCCGGUGAA